Long non-coding RNA from Heterocephalus glaber (naked mole-rat), 533 nucleotides. The record is from Ensembl. Lineage: Eukaryota; Metazoa; Chordata; Mammalia; Rodentia; Bathyergidae.
GAUUAGCACAAAAGAAUGGGCUGUUUGUCUACCAGCAGGGAGGUCGGCAGUGAUGACCAGACAUGGUGGGCUAGAUAAGCAUAUCCAGAUUUGCCCCUGACCAGACGGUAGAAAGGAUAACUAACCAAGAACGCACUAACACUGACCAAGAUCUCCGUGAGGGUAGAGGUGAAACAAACCCAGUACUUUCAAUGGUGCCCUUUUCCUAGCUCACAACCGGAAACCAGUUCCUUACCAUCUCCAAACCUCAGCAAUCUACCUGGUCCUCCAAGGGGAAUAAUUCUGACCUUGGGCUGAAGAGGAAGAUGGUUUGCCAGAAGGGAUCGGAGAAUGCACCUGUUGUGCAUGCGGGCCACACACUAACCAGCCUGGAAAGCUGCCUGCUCCUCCGCGCCCCGGCUAAUUCCCCAGGUGGGCAGUUCAGCAGCGGGGCCGGAGCCGGCCUGGGGGUGCCUGGGGCUCAAUUGCUUUACUCGGGACUCGGGGAACCACAGGAGCUGUCGACCGUGCCCGCGCGCCAAGCAGGCACCGCC